AGCUGCGCAAUUGACCUUCCCUUCCGAGCCCGGAAACGCCAAAACAUUGAGAUCCAACUCCAUGCUUCGCUCCUUGGGCCUCUCCCAGGUCUUCUUCAUCGUCUUCCUGUUCAGAAGUUUUGAACUCAAACUAACUCACUUGCAAGUCCAAGCACUGCUCCCAAUCCAGUGGCAGAGGAUCAUUGAGCUGGAGAUCAAUGUUGCUACUUUGGCUCACUGGAUCACUACUCCAUGUCAGUUGUUGCUUUCUCAGAUCCAAUUCCUUUCGCGACAUCGAUCGAGGUGGGCCAAGUGAAAGCUCUGUGUGCUCCAUGGCCAGUUUGAUCCAAAUAGAAUCAGAGUUGGAGAGGAUCCCAUGCUGCAUGCUCAGUUCAUCCCAUGUCAGCUGCAUACUUGUGAAACUACAGUGUAUUAACUCUCAUGGAGUAAUGAAUUGCUUCCAGUGGGUGGGCAUUCAUGAGCAGGCUCUCAAGGAAUUUAAUUCUGCUUAUGAAAUGAGAAGGAAAAAAAAAUGCGAAGUAGAUAAAAUGGUGGAGGGAAGGGACGCUCGCAAAGCAAACCUUCUCAACGACCUCCGCGCAAUGCCAGGGCAAAUUAAUGUGGUGGGCUGUGGCUUCUACGAGCUCACCAGUGCCAACAACUGCAAUUAAUCAUGGAGCUUGCCUCACUCUCUGGCCAUGAAGGCUCCAAGGCAUUCAAUGUUCGAUGACGCCAUUAACGCCAGUGGAUUUAAUGCUGCAACAGCCGACAACUUCUAUGCUGGAAGAUACUUGUAAAACGAUUGAACAGGGCAUAUUAAAAGAUUAGAGACUUACAAGUGAGUGUUUUAGGGAAAGGAGAAGACCCUCAGUGUGCUCUAGAAUUCACCAAACAAUAGAGUUGGACUUAGAGACAUGAUAAGAGGAAUAAGACAGUGUCUGUUUUGUUCAAAAAGGAUCCAAGGAAAAUCAUUGUUAAAAGAAAAUUCAUUAUGCUUGAUGGUUCCUUUUGGUUCCUCCUAUUGAUAUGGUGUUUUUCUAUAUCGCGCCGUGUCUGCCUCAUCGACAUCUUUCUGAACCUGAGCAUGCUCGCCAUUCUUGAAGGAGCUAUCGUCCGAAGGCCUUCGCCUGAAGAAAUGCCAUGGAGAAGUAAAGAGGUGGUCAUCAGUGGCGGAUCUAGGAGGGAGCGGGGGUGUGCUUGAGCACCUCCUUGCUCCCGGAAAAUUCCACCAGUAUGCUCCAGUCCGAGGGGCAAUGAGAAGGAAGACAAGCUCCAGCUUCUUUCUUUGAGUACCAUUUUUCUUUUUUGUCUAGAUCCGCCCGACCGCCACUGGUGGUCAUACGAAAUCAAGCAAAGAACAAAGGGUAGUUGGAUCUUCUACCAUCCUAAUACACGCCAUUUUCACAUAGCACAUAAAACAAGUUUGUCAAAAGGCCUAAACUUGCUAGUUUCUCGAAAGGAAUACACCAGGAACAAACAAGAAUGUUGGCUGGUAUCUUAGGCCUAGUGUGAGGUUGGAAGGAUCCAAUUCCAAGCGAUGUAGG
Molecule: long non-coding RNA, 1523 nt
Organism: Zingiber officinale
Lineage: Eukaryota; Viridiplantae; Streptophyta; Magnoliopsida; Zingiberales; Zingiberaceae
Exons: 5
Source: RefSeq, a predicted model, not a curated record